Peromyscus eremicus (cactus mouse) is the source of this 523-nucleotide long non-coding RNA. RefSeq lists it as uncharacterized. The record is from RefSeq and is a predicted model, not a curated record. The transcript has 2 exons. Lineage: Eukaryota; Metazoa; Chordata; Mammalia; Rodentia; Cricetidae.
AAGUGUACAGGGAUCUUGCAUUGAAACGACAGCGGGGACUCAGGAAUGCGGCUCACGUUCUGGAAGCCGUCAGGAUUGAGCGCUCAGUGUUUCCAUGGACAAGCUGAGUUCCCACUGAAUACACCAAGCGGUUUAGAUGGUGCCUGCCUGGACAGAGCUGGGCCUGGUGCAGAACCUUCACGACCUCGCUGUGGGCUAAACCAGCCAAGGAAGUGCCAUUGAUGGAGAGAAGGAAAUCCCCUCGGCUCACAGUCCCUUCCUGAGAAGCCACACCCUGAGAAAACACCCUGUGGACCUAGGACGGAAAGGGAAAGAGAACAAAUCCACUCACAACCCUGGUAACUGAGAGAGAGUAGCUGCAAAUCUAUGGUCAAGGAGCUUCCUCAUGCCAAACUUUCAGGGUCGAAUUGCAAACCUCUGCAGCAGCAUCUACCCAUAUUUCCAUGGGGCAACAGGAAGAGAGACAGAUAAGACUUGGGCUUGCCCGGUAAAAAUGGCCUCAAGGUCGCCAAGUGAUACAGAA